Molecule: ribosomal RNA, 459 nt
Filed under: Hamigera ingelheimensis
Lineage: Eukaryota; Fungi; Ascomycota; Eurotiomycetes; Eurotiales; Aspergillaceae
Description: partial 28S ribosomal RNA
Rfam family: Eukaryotic large subunit ribosomal RNA
Source: RNAcentral
CCCCGUCUAAGUGCCCUGGAACGGGCCGUCGGAGAGGGUGAGAAUCCCGUCUGGGACGGGGUGUCCGUGUCCGUGUGAAGCUCCUUCGACGAGUCGAGUUGUUUGGGAAUGCAGCUCUAAAUGGGUGGUAAAUUUCAUCUAAAGCUAAAUAUUGGCCGGAGACCGAUAGCGCACAAGUAGAGUGAUCGAAAGAUGAAAAGCACUUUGAAAAGAGAGUUAAACAGCACGUGAAAUUGUUGAAAGGGAAGCGCUUGCGACCAGACUCGCCUGCGGGGUUCAGCCGGGAUUCGUCCCGGUGUACUUCCCCGCAGGCGGGCCAGCGUCGGUUUGGGCGGCCGGUCAAAGGCCUCCGGAAUGUAUCGCCCCCCGGGGCGUCUUAUAGCCGGAGGUGCAAUGCGGCCUGCCCGGACCGAGGAACGCGCUUCGGCACGGACGCUGGCAUAAUGGUCGUAAGCGACC